Molecule: ribosomal RNA, 443 nt
Filed under: uncultured bacterium
Lineage: Bacteria
Description: partial 16S ribosomal RNA
Rfam family: Bacterial small subunit ribosomal RNA
Source: RNAcentral
CCUACGUGAGGCAGCAGUGAGGAAUAUUGGUCAAUGGACGCAAGUCUGAACCAGCCAUGCCGCGUGCAGGAUGACUGCCCUACGGGUUGUAAACUUCUUUUAUAAGCGAGAAAUAUGAUGGUAACUUAUGAAUAAGGAUCGGCUAACUACGUGCCAGCAGCCGCGGUCAUACGUAGGAUCCGAGCAUUAUCCGGAGUGACUGGGUGUAAAGAGUUGCGUAGGAGGCAUAAUAAGUAGCUAGUGAAAUCUGGUGGCUCAACCAUUCAGACUAUUAGCUAAACUGUUAAGCGCGAGACCGUUAGGGGUAACUGGAAUUUCUAGUGUAGGAGUGAAAUCCGUAGAUAUUAGAAGGAACACCAAUAGCGUAGGCAGGUUACUGGGACGGUUCUGACACUAAGGCACGAAAGCGUAGGGAGCAAACGGGAUUAGAUACCCCAGUAGUC